RNAcentral lists this transfer RNA (70 nucleotides) under Salmo salar (Atlantic salmon). It matches the Rfam family "tRNA". From Rfam's summary of the family: Transfer RNA (tRNA) molecules are approximately 80 nucleotides in length. Their secondary structure includes four short double-helical elements and three loops (D, anti-codon, and T loops). The record is from Rfam by way of RNAcentral. Lineage: Eukaryota; Metazoa; Chordata; Actinopteri; Salmoniformes; Salmonidae.
CCCUGUGUGGAUCAGUUGGUAGAGCAGGGCACUUGCAAUGCCAGGGUUGUGGGUUCAAAUCCCACAGGGG